CCUCUCCUUUUCUUUUUCUUUUUCUUUUCUUCCUCUUCUUUUUUUCUUCUUUUUUUUCUUUUUCUUUCUUUUUCUUUUUUUCUCUCUUUUUCCUUCCCUUGGAAUUCUCUAGGAUCAUUUACUUUUGGCGCAUUUGACCAUGAUUGAUAACUUUGAACAUUCCUCUUCAAUCGAGAUUGGAUCCAAAAACUCAGAGAGAAAGAAUCUUGUCUUCAAUAGGCAAAAUCGCGAUAGGCCUA
Molecule: long non-coding RNA, 239 nt
Filed under: Gossypium raimondii (Peruvian cotton)
Lineage: Eukaryota; Viridiplantae; Streptophyta; Magnoliopsida; Malvales; Malvaceae
Description: long non-coding RNA (GRAI_LNC004921)
Source: RNAcentral